UACAGAGGUCCCAAGCGUUGUUCGGAUUCAUUGGGCGUAAAGGGUGCGUAGGUGGCGCCGUAAGUGGGGUGUGAAAUUUCGGAGCUUAACUCCGAAACUGCAUUCCAUACUGCGGUGCUUGAGGACUGGAGAGGAGACUGGAAUUUACGGUGUAGCAGUGAAAUGCGUAGAUAUCGAGAGGAACACCAGUGGCGAAGGCGAGUCUCUGGACAUUUCCUGACGCUGAGGCACGAAAGCCAGGGGAGCAAACGGG
Molecule: ribosomal RNA, 253 nt
Filed under: uncultured bacterium
Lineage: Bacteria
Description: partial 16S ribosomal RNA
Rfam family: Bacterial small subunit ribosomal RNA
Source: RNAcentral